AUUGAACGCUGGCGGCAUGCUUUACAUAUGCAAGUCGAACGGUAACAGGUUAAGCUGACGAGUGGCGAACGGGUGAGUUAUGCAGCGGUACGUGCCCGUUCGUGGGGGAAAACGUAGCGAAAGCUGCGCUAAUACCGCAUACGAUCUGAGGUUGCAAGCGGGCGACCGUAAGGCCUCGCGCGAUCGUAGCGGCCGAUGUCAGAUUAGGUAGUUGGUGAGGUAAAGGCAAACCAAGCCGACGAUCUAUAGCUGGUCUGAGAGGACGACCAGCCACACUGGGACUGAGACACGGCCCAGACUCCUACGGGAGGCAGCAGUGGGGAAUUUUGGACAAUGGGCGAAAGCCUGAUCCAGCAAUGCCGCGUGCAGGAAGAAGGCCUUCGGGUUGUAAACUGCUUUGGUACGGUGCGAAAAGGCUCUCUCUAAUACGGGGGGCUCAUGACGGUACCGUAAGAAGAAGCACCGGCUAACUACGUGCCAGCAGCCGCCGUAA
RNAcentral lists this ribosomal RNA (493 nucleotides) under uncultured bacterium. Its description in RNAcentral is "partial 16S ribosomal RNA". It matches the Rfam family "Bacterial small subunit ribosomal RNA", at positions 30 to 523 of the family's 1533-position model. The record is from RNAcentral.